AGCAAAAAUAAAGGACGCGACCGCCGCAGCCUCUGCGGAGCCGGGCUCGGGUCGCCGGAGCCGCGCCCCACCCCGCCAGCUCCAGAGCCACGACUAAUGGCUGAAGGAUAAAUCAACAUGGCAACUAUGAUUCCACCAGUGAAGCUGAAAUGGCUUGAACACUUGAACAGCUCCUGGAUUACAGAGGACAGUGAAUCUAUUGCUACAAGAGAGGGAGUUGCUGUUCUGUAUUCUAAACUGGUUAGCAAUAAGGAAGUAGUACCUUUGCCCCAACAAGUUUUAUGCCUCAAAGGACCACAGUUGCCAGACUUUGAACGUGAGUCUCUUUCAAGUGAUGAGCAGGACCACUAUUUGGAUGCCCUUCUUAGCAGCCAGCUAGCAUUGGCAAAGAUGGUAUGUUCAGAUUCCCCAUUUGCUGGGGCACUUAGAAAACGACUGCUUGUACUCCAGCGUGUCUUUUAUGCACUUUCUAAUAAAUACCAUGACAAAGGCAAGGUGAAGCAGCAGCAGCAUUCUCCGGAGAGCAGUUCUGGUUCAGCAGAUGUCCAUUCUGUUAGUGAACGCCCCCGGUCAAGCACUGAUGCACUUAUAGAAAUGGGUGUUCGAACUGGUCUAAGUUUAUUAUUUGCGCUUCUCAGACAAAGUUGGAUGAUGCCUGUGUCAGGACCUGGUCUCAGUCUUUGCAACGAUGUCAUCCAUACUGCAAUUGAAGUUGUGAGCUCUUUGCCACCAUUAUCAUUAGCAAAUGAAAGCAAGAUUCCUCCUAUGGGCUUGGACUGCUUAUCGCAAGUAACAACAUUUCUUAAAGGAGUCACUAUUCCUAAUUCUGGGGCAGACACUUUAGGUCGUAGAUUAGCUUCUGAGUUGCUGCUUGGUUUGGCAGCUCAACGAGGCUCAUUGCGAUAUCUUCUUGAAUGGAUAGAAAUGGCUUUGGGGGCUUCGGCAGUUGUACACACCAUGGAGAAAAGCAAACUACUCUCAAGCCAGGAAGGAAUGAUCAGCUUUGACUGCUUUAUGACCAUAUUAAUGCAGAUGAGGCGUUCUUUGGGUUCAUCUGCUGAUCGGAGUCAGUGGAGAGAACCAACCAGAACAUCGGAUGGCUUGUGCUCCCUUUACGAGGCAGCAUUAUGUCUCUUUGAAGAGGUUUGCAGAAUGGCUUCUGAUUAUUCGAGAACAUGUGCUAGCCCAGAUAGCAUUCAGACUGGUGAUGCUCCCAUUGUCUCCGAAACCUGUGAGGUUUAUGUUUGGGGGAGCAAUAGCAGCCAUCAGUUGGUAGAAGGUACACAGGAGAAAAUACUGCAACCCAAACUGGCUCCUAGUUUCUCUGAUGCACAGACCAUUGAAGCUGGACAGUACUGCACUUUUGUCAUUUCUACGGAUGGCUCUGUUAGAGCUUGCGGGAAAGGCAGCUAUGGGAGACUGGGCCUUGGAGACUCCAAUAAUCAGUCAACUUUAAAAAAGUUAACAUUCGAGCCUCACAGAUCCAUUAAAAAGGUUUCAUCUUCUAAAGGAUCUGAUGGUCACACUUUAGCUUUUACGACAGAAGGAGAAGUCUUCAGUUGGGGAGAUGGUGAUUAUGGGAAACUGGGGCAUGGAAAUAGUUCAACACAGAAAUAUCCCAAGCUUAUUCAGGGACCUCUACAAGGAAAGGUAGUUGUUUGUGUGUCAGCUGGAUACAGACAUAGUGCUGCUGUCACAGAGGAUGGGGAAUUAUACACAUGGGGUGAAGGAGACUUUGGAAGAUUAGGUCAUGGUGACAGCAAUAGUCGUAACAUUCCAACAUUAGUAAAAGACAUUAGCAAUGUAGGAGAGGUUUCUUGUGGCAGUUCACAUACUAUUGCUCUGUCUAAAGAUGGGAGAACUGUAUGGUCUUUUGGAGGAGGAGACAAUGGUAAACUUGGUCAUGGUGAUACCAACAGAGUGUAUAAACCUAAAGUUAUUGAAGCUUUACAAGGAAUGUUCAUUCGCAAAGUUUGUGCUGGGAGCCAGUCUUCACUUGCUUUGACAUCAACAGGGCAGGUAGGACUAAGGGAUGAGUACAGAAGACUUAGAGUAUUUCAGAGGAUUAGGUGACUAAAAAGUAAUAAUUGUAUUUAAAUUUUAAAGUUCAAAUAAAUACAUUUUUAGGCAACAUACUGAAAUGAAAUAUUUUCUUCUGUUUGAAGUAGAGUAUCUGAGAAGGAACCAGGUUUUCUAACCUGGCAUAUGUGACCCAGAUAAACCUUAGUGGAGCCUCUGUUCUUUGUAUUAAACUGACUUUCUAAAAUGUUUUAGCAUUUAGCUUCCCUUAAACCUUUUCUAAAACAUGGAUAGUUGGGGAAAGCUGAACUAAAUCUUGAUGGAGCCAGUGAUAUGAACUAAGAAGGCAAGAGGGUGAUCAAAAAGGAGGGUAAAGAGAACACUUAGGUAUGGAAAAUAUCCUGAGAGAGUUAGGUGUUUCUGAGAAACACUGUGAAGUC
This 2459-nucleotide small RNA is filed under the name Pongo abelii (Sumatran orangutan). RNAcentral describes it as "retained intron". The record is from RNAcentral. Lineage: Eukaryota; Metazoa; Chordata; Mammalia; Primates; Hominidae.